GCCAAAAUGGACAGGCUGUGUGCUAUCUUGCAUAUUGUUGGGUCUAUAAAGUUCAUGGCAAUAUUAGUAAACUUCAGUGUUUAAUUUAAAGCACUUGUGACAUUAUGCUCGAUUGUCACUUCAUGGCAAAUAGAAAAUGUGGGUUUUGAAGCUCACAUUUCUAUACAUAAAACAGCUUCUGCCUUGUAAAAUAUUAGAAAAACAGCCUUGUAAUAUAACUAACAGCAACAGAAGUCUUAAUACGGUACUGUGUUUCUGAUGACUACACGUCAUGAAGUUGAUUUUGUCUAAACCAGGCAUACUGUUAUAGUUUUCUGUUCUCUAAACAUGCAGUUUCAAACAGAGAUGGAAACUCUCUGGCACAGAAAACUGAAUUGCGUGGUGAGAUUGUAAAGGAAGAUGGUGAAUAAAACAACGGAGCAUAGAGAAUGUGAACAGACCUCUUAUUGUGUGGCAUGAAAGCUAAUUAAACAUUGGUGUCGGAGGCACCCCCAUCGCCAAACAGCAGUCCUUUAUCACCCUUUCUCUUUCUCCGCGUUUCCUUUAUGUCGCUCGCUCUCUCAGGCUAUCGAUGCUACUUCACAUACAUUCCUUCAGUCCUGCUUUCUGUUCACUGGGAUGAUGAAACUGUGGAGCAUGACACAUUGAUCUCCACGUCUGAAGUUCAGCCAUGUGUGGACCUCCUGUAAUCCCAGCAAAUGACCUGAGAGCUCCCUACUUCCUGGAGAACUUGGCACCACUUCUUUGUAAAGAAAGAAAGGCAUAGCUUGGCAAUGGCCCGAACCCAGAGAACCCCACUAGGUGUAGUGAGAACUCGAUAGGGUGAGAGGAGAUAGGGUGGUGGAGGGAUGCUGAUCAACCGUCAAAAGGAUAGAGGUCUGGGGUCCAAGGGCAUCCCUGACAAACACCCAAAGAAGAGUGUCACUCACGCCCAGAGGGAGCAGCAGCAGUGCUGGUAGGAGAGGAAAGAGCAUUGCACAAGGACACGUGACUAGGACUAG
Labeo rohita (rohu) is the source of this 1001-nucleotide long non-coding RNA. RefSeq lists it as uncharacterized. The record is from RefSeq and is a predicted model, not a curated record. The transcript has 3 exons. NCBI's taxonomy places the organism in Eukaryota, Metazoa, Chordata, Actinopteri, Cypriniformes, Cyprinidae.